UCUUCACAAUGAUGAUGGUGAAACACUGGAACAGGUCGUGCAGAGGUAUGGUGGAGGCCCUCAUCCCUGGAGACAUUCAAGGCAAAACUAUACAUCAGAGGAUCUUUUGUGUGUCUUUUAUUGGCAAAUGGAGAGGAACAUCCACAAAGAAAGACAUCCCUCUGGAAUCUUGAUUAAGACCUUUGUUUAGCAGGCCAGCUUUGCAAAAAUCAGAUUCACUGAUUGCAUUGAGUUGGAAGGGACUCUCAAAGGUCAUCUUCUCCAACCCCUUUGCAGUCAGCAGGAACUCCUCCAACUAGAUCAGGAUGCUCAGGACCACAUUGAGUCUGAUCUUGAAUGUGUCCAGGGAUGGGGCCUCAGCCACAUCCCUGGGCAACCUGUUCUAGUAUUUUACCACUCAUUGUAAAGAAGUUUUUUUGUUGUU
This is a long non-coding RNA of Pogoniulus pusillus (Red-fronted tinkerbird), 424 nucleotides long. RefSeq lists it as uncharacterized. The record is from RefSeq and is a predicted model, not a curated record. Lineage: Eukaryota; Metazoa; Chordata; Aves; Piciformes; Lybiidae. The transcript has 3 exons.